AGAGUUUGAUCAUGGCUCAGAACGAACGCUGGCGGCAGGCUUAACACAUGCAAGUCGAACGAGAAGCCGGACUUCGGUCUGGUGGAGAGUGGCGCACGGGUGAGUAACGCGUGGGGAUUUACCCAGCAGUACGGGAUAACAUCGGGAAACCGGUGCUAAUACCGCAUACGCCCUUCGGGGGAAAGAUUUAUCGCUGUUGGAUGAACCCGCGUAAGAUUAGAUAGUUGGUGGGGUAAUGGCCUACCAAGUCGACGAUCUUUAGCUGGUCUGAGAGGAUGAUCAGCCACACUGGAACUGAGACACGGUCCAGACUCCUACGGGAGGCAGCAGUGGGGAAUAUUGGACAAUGGGCGCAAGCCUGAUCCAGCCAUGCCGCGUGAGUGAUGAAGGCCUUAGGGUUGUAAAGCUCUUUCAUCGGUGAAGAUAAUGACGGUAACCGAAGAAGAAGCCCCGGCUAACUCCGUGCCAGCAGCCGCGGUAAUACGGAGGGGGCUAG
This 496-nucleotide ribosomal RNA is filed under the name uncultured bacterium. RNAcentral describes it as "bacterial SSU rRNA". It matches the Rfam family "Bacterial small subunit ribosomal RNA", at positions 8 to 538 of the family's 1533-position model. The record is from RNAcentral.